UCUUGGUCAUUUAGAGGAAGUAAAAGUCGUAACAAGGUCUCCGUUGGUGAACCAGCGGAGGGAUCAUUACUGAGUUUACGCUCUACAACCCUUUGUGAACAUACCUAUAACUGUUGCUUCGGCGGGUAGGGUCUCCGCGACCCUCCCGGCCUCCCGCCUCCGGGCGGGUCGGCGCCCGCCGGAGGAUAACCAAACUCUGAUUUAACGACGUUUCUUCUGAGUGGUACAAGCAAAUAAUCAAAACUUUUAACAACGGAUCUCUUGGUUCUGGCAUCGAUGAAGAACGCAGCGAAAUGCGAUAAGUAAUGUGAAUUGCAGAAUUCAGUGAAUCAUCGAAUCUUUGAACGCACAUUGCGCCCGCCAGCAUUCUGGCGGGCAUGCCUGUUCGAGCGUCAUUUCAACCCUCAAGCUCUGCUUGGUGUUGGGGCCCUACAGCCGAUGUAGGCCCUCAAAGGUAGUGGCGGACCCUCCCGGAGCCUCCUUUGCGUAGUAACUUUACGUCUCGCACUGGGAUCCGGAGGGACUCUUGCCGUAAAACCCCCCAAUUUUCCAAAGGUUGACCUCGGAUCAGGUAGGAAUACCCGCUGAACUUAAGCAUAUCAAUAAGCCGGAGGAAA
RNAcentral lists this ribosomal RNA (617 nucleotides) under Colletotrichum gloeosporioides. RNAcentral's name for it is "eukaryotic LSU rRNA". The stretch from base 242 to 395 matches the Rfam family "5.8S ribosomal RNA". Lineage: Eukaryota; Fungi; Ascomycota; Sordariomycetes; Glomerellales; Glomerellaceae. The record is from RNAcentral.